AACGGUGAAGCUCCAGCUUGCUGGAGUGGAUCAGUGGCGAACGGGUGAGUAACACGUGAGCAACCUGCCCCUGACUCUGGAAUAAGCGCUGGAAACGGCGUCUAAUACUGGAUAUGAGAAGGGUCCGCAUGGACACUUUCUGGAAAGUUUUUCGGUUGGGGAUGGGCUCGCGGCCUAUCAGCUUGUUGGUGAGGUAAUGGCUCACCAAGGCGACGACGGGUAGCCGGCCUGAGAGGGCGACCGGCCACACUGGGACUGAGACACGGCCCAGACUCCUACGGGAGGCAGCAGUGGGGAAUAUUGCACAAUGGGCGAAAGCCUGAUGCAGCGACGCCGCGUGAGGGAUGACGGCCUUCGGGUUGUAAACCUCUUUCAGCAGGGAAGAAGCGAAAGUGACGGUACCUGCAGAAGAAGCACCGGCUAACUACGUGCCAGCAGCCGCGGUAAUACGUAGGGUGCGAGCGUUGUCCGGAAUUAUUGGGCGUAAAGAGCUUGUAGGCGGUUUGUCGCGUCUGCUGUGAAAAUCCGGGGCUCAACCCCGGACUUGCAGUGGGUACGGGCAGACUAGAGUGUGGUAGGGGAGACUGGAAUUCCUGGUGUAGCGGUGAAAUGCGCAGAUAUCAGGAGGAACACCGAUGGCGAAGGCAGGUCUCUGGGCCACUACUGACGCUGAGAAGCGAAAGCAUGGGGAGCGAACAGGAUUAGAUACCCUGGUAGUCCAUGCCGUAAACGUUGGGCGCUAGGUGUGGGACUCAUUCCACGAGUUCCGUGCCGCAGCUAACGCAUUAAGCGCCCCGCCUGGGG
This 804-nucleotide ribosomal RNA is filed under the name Janibacter indicus. RNAcentral describes it as "bacterial SSU rRNA". It matches the Rfam family "Bacterial small subunit ribosomal RNA", at positions 65 to 878 of the family's 1533-position model. Lineage: Bacteria; Bacillati; Actinomycetota; Actinomycetes; Micrococcales; Intrasporangiaceae. The record is from RNAcentral.